GGUGAACGCUGGCGGCGUGCCUAAUACAUGCAAGUCGAGCGAACAGACGAUGAGCUUGCUCCUCUGCCGUUGGCGGCGGACGGGCGAGUAACACGUGCAUAACCUACCUCUAAGACUGGGAUAACUUCGGGAAACCGGAGCUACUACCGGAUCAUAUAAUGUACCGCAUAGAUCAAUAGUGCAACACGGUUUUGCUGUCACAUAUAGAUGGAUCCGCACCGCAUUAGCUAGUUGGUAAGGUAACGGCUUACCAAGGCGACGAUGCGUAGCCGACCUGAGAGGGUGAUCAGCCACACUGGAACUGAGACACGGUCCAGACUCCUACGGGAGGCAGCAGUAGGGAAUAUUGCGCAAUGGGCGAAAGCCUGACGGAGCAACGCCGCGUGAGUGAUGAAGGUCUUCGGGUCGUAAAACUCUGUUAUUAGGGAAGAAAAAAUGUGUAAGUAACUAUGCAUGUCUUGACGGUACCUAAUCAGAAAGCCCCGGCUAACUACGUG
Molecule: ribosomal RNA, 497 nt
Filed under: uncultured bacterium
Lineage: Bacteria
Description: partial 16S ribosomal RNA
Rfam family: Bacterial small subunit ribosomal RNA
Source: RNAcentral